CCUACGGGAGGCAGCAGUGGGGGAUAUUGCACAAUGGGGGGAACCCUGAUGCAGCGACGCCGCGUGGGUGAAGAAGCGCCUCGGCGCGUAAAGCCCUGUCAGCAGGGAAGAAAAUGACGGUACCUGAAGAAGAAGCCCCGGCUAACUCCGUGCCAGCAGCCGCGGGAAUACGUAGGGGGCAAGCGUUAUCCGGAUUUACUGGGUGUAAAGGGGGCGCAGACGGCGAGGCAAGCCAGGAGGGAAAGCCCGGGGCCCAACCCCGGGACUGCGUUUGGAACUGCGUGGCUAGAGUGCAGGAGGGGCAGGCGGAAUGCCUGGUGUAGCGGUGAAAUGCGUAGAUAUCAGGAGGAACACCGGUGGCGAAGGCGGCCUGCUGGACUGCAACUGACGUUGAGGCCCGAAAGCGUGGGGAGCAAACAGGAUUAGAUACCCGAGUAGUC
Molecule: ribosomal RNA, 440 nt
Filed under: uncultured bacterium
Lineage: Bacteria
Description: partial 16S ribosomal RNA
Rfam family: Bacterial small subunit ribosomal RNA
Source: RNAcentral